Molecule: transfer RNA, 78 nt
Filed under: Armatimonadota bacterium
Lineage: Bacteria; Bacillati; Armatimonadota
Description: tRNA-Arg
Rfam family: tRNA
About the family: Transfer RNA (tRNA) molecules are approximately 80 nucleotides in length.
Source: RNAcentral
GGGCCCGUUGCCUAGUCUGGAUAGGGCACCAGCCUCCUAAGCUGGCAUUCCGCGGUUUGAAUCCGCGCGGGCCCGCCA